CUCACAAAUGCUGGGACCUACAGGCCUGCGCCACCACGGCUGGCCAACCUCUGAAAUUUAGUAAGGGCUGAAGUUACAAGAAGAAAAAGAAUGGGUUACAGAAUCAGAAAAGGGAUUGGUCUCUGAGUGGAUGCCAGGAGACUCUGGGUAGCUCCCUGUGCUCGCGGCAUGGCUUGGAGGCCUCUGCCCGCUCUGUACACGUGGUUCUUACAUACCUGCCCCAGUGGCAGCCCACUGGAUCCAAUGUUCGGUCCCACGAGGGGCACAGACUCAAAUCGGGUUGAAGAUACUUUUGGAUAUUUUGAGCUUGGGGGUGUGUGGGGCUUUUCUCUUCAAGAUGGUGCAAAUGGUGUGAUAAAAAGCCUGGGUGUUACUGAUUGCCCUAAUUCCUGCUAGGUGGAAAAAGCCAUUUUUGCAAGGAGCCACAAGAGGACCUUCUGUGAACAGCACAAAUGAACAAAUCUGGCUUUGUAUGACAGCAAGUUGACAAAACAGCAGCAAAGCUGAGUUCAUGUUCUGGCUCUGUCUUGGACCAGAGAAGGUGCUGUGACCACCUGUCAUGCCGGGCACUGGCAGCAGCCUUGGUUCCUGUUCACCCCAUGGUUGGGAGGGGAAGCAACCCGUAGCUUACCUGUGCUGCACUGCUAAGUGGGGAUGGUACCGGGGAUCUAACACAGGUCCUUGUGCUUGCGCAGCAGGCGGUGAAACCACUUAGCUAAAUCCC
Heterocephalus glaber (naked mole-rat) is the source of this 724-nucleotide long non-coding RNA. The record is from Ensembl. Lineage: Eukaryota; Metazoa; Chordata; Mammalia; Rodentia; Bathyergidae.